UGUCUUUUUGAAAUUAAUAUAAAGUUUAAUCUGCCCACUGAUUUAAUAAUUGAAGGGCUGCAGUAUAUUGACUGUACAAAGGUAGCAUAAUCAUUAGUCAUUUAAUUGAUGACUUGUAUGAAGGAUUGGAUGAAAUAUAAUCUGUCUCUUAAUUAAUAAUAGAAUUUAAUUUUUUAAUUAAAAAGUUAAAAUGGUUUAAAAAGACGAGAAGACCCUAUAGAGUUUUAUAAAUAAAUUAAUUAAGAUUAUUUAGCAAUAUAAAAUUAAAAUUAAAUUAUUUAUUAUAUUGGGGUGAUAGAAAAAUAUAAUUAACUUUUUUUAUAAAUUAAACAUUUAUAAGUGAUUAAAUGAUCCAGUAUUAUUGAUUAUAAGAAAAAAUUACCUUAGGGAUAACAGCGUAAUUUUUUUUUUUAGUUCACAUAAGAAAAAGAGUUUGCGACCUCGAUGUUGGAUUAAGAUAAAAUUUAAAUGCAGAAG
RNAcentral lists this ribosomal RNA (477 nucleotides) under Pirateolea nola. RNAcentral's name for it is "partial 16S large subunit ribosomal RNA". The record is from RNAcentral. Lineage: Eukaryota; Metazoa; Arthropoda; Insecta; Lepidoptera; Noctuidae.